Sus scrofa (pig) is the source of this 545-nucleotide long non-coding RNA. RefSeq lists it as uncharacterized. The record is from RefSeq and is a predicted model, not a curated record. Lineage: Eukaryota; Metazoa; Chordata; Mammalia; Artiodactyla; Suidae.
GGAGGUCCCGCGGCGCCAGAGGCUGCUUCCCUGCUAGCCUCCUGACUCCUGGGUCUCCACCACAGCCGACUCCACCCACCUUCCACACCCCAAAGCCCCUUGCCCUCUCUUGCCUCUGGGCCUCCUGCCAUGCUGCUCCCUGGAACCCUGCUCCCCUGAUCGCCCUAACCUUUUCUUCCUGGUCCUUCAGAUGCUGCCCAUCCUCCCCCGCCUGGCAGUCUGGCCCUGCCUGGCCGCCUCCCGACGCCCUGGCCUCACCCCCAUCACACCAAGCCUCCCACUGCAAGGACGUGUGCUUCCCACAGGCCAGCCUCCCUGGCCACCUCACAGCAGCCUGGAAGAUACAUACACCCUUGUAAUCACCACUGACAGCAAGCCAGAGAACAUUCCAGAGAACCUUCAGAGACGGGUCCUUCAUGUUCCCGCCUUGUCAGUACCGCUCCCCAUCCUGGGCCAAGGUGCCACGGGCUUCCAUCACCAACUGCUUUUCCCUGUUCCUGAAUCUUAUAUAAAUGGAAUCAUGCAGGUUGGCUUCUUGCGCUUUA